Molecule: small nucleolar RNA, 82 nt
Organism: Oncorhynchus keta (chum salmon)
Lineage: Eukaryota; Metazoa; Chordata; Actinopteri; Salmoniformes; Salmonidae
Product: small nucleolar RNA SNORD35
Exons: 1
Source: RefSeq, a predicted model, not a curated record
UGCAAGUGAUGUUUUCCUCACGGUGGUCUUCCAUGGACAGGGCGUUGACGAAACGUCCGCUAGUCAACUCUGCUGCAAGUGA